Molecule: unclassified non-coding RNA, 840 nt
Filed under: Hevea brasiliensis (rubber tree)
Lineage: Eukaryota; Viridiplantae; Streptophyta; Magnoliopsida; Malpighiales; Euphorbiaceae
Source: RNAcentral
UAACGGAUUUUGCCAUGUCAACAUAGGAAAUGUAAAAAAAAACCAAAAUUGAUAUUAAUUAAACCUAAUUUAUGAUAAAAGAAAAAAAUAAAGAAAAUUCAUUUCCAGCAAAAUUGACACAUCUACCAAGAACAUAGAGGUUCGUAUUCUACCUCCCCACUCCUCUACCACUAACUUCCCUCAACCUCUAUAUCUCACAAAGUCAUUAGACACCAGUCUCUUGCAUCCACUUACUCUACCAUCACCGAUUAGUACACUUAUUUCUCCCAUACUGCAUUAGAGCAUAUAACUUUUUUCAACCAUCCUUCAUUACCUUGAUAAGUCAUCACCUUUGUGACACUCAUUUCUAUCCAACCUAACUCUACCCUUAUAAAGACUCAACCUCACUCUCUAUCAAUAUUUCCUCUUAACAACUCAACCAAACCCAUUUUGACAACAUCAAAAUAUGAUCCAUUAAUUUAUUAAUUAGGGUCUAUUUUAUUGUAAAUUGGGUUUAAUUAGUUUUAAUUUAAGGGAUUGAAAGUGCUAACCUUGCACCUCUAUUAGCAUUUAACAGGGCAAUCAACAAUAGGUUGAAUUGUAGUAAAUUUCAAAGUUCAGAUUAUAUUUGUUUAAAAAAUAGUUUAGGGUGUAAUUGUGAAAGAAAAAAAGGUGAAGUUUGAGAAUUUUUUUAAACAUUUUUACCAUUAGAAUUAACAGCGGAAUAAACGACAGGAUACAAUUGUAAAAAACCUCAAAUUUCAGGAUUUUUUUGGACAUUAUCCCUACCUUUAUCAAAUGCAAAAUUAUAUCAGUUGCUAUUAAAAAAAUUUAUAUAUUCACACUUGAAAUAAAAUUAUA